RNAcentral lists this ribosomal RNA (261 nucleotides) under Blastocystis sp. RNAcentral describes it as "partial small subunit ribosomal RNA". It matches the Rfam family "Eukaryotic small subunit ribosomal RNA", at positions 85 to 364 of the family's 1831-position model. Lineage: Eukaryota; Bigyra; Opalinata; Blastocystidae. The record is from RNAcentral.
AACUGCGAAUGGCUCAUUAUAUCAGUUAUAGUUUAUUUGAUGAAGAAUACUAAUUGGAUAACCGUAGUAAUUCUAGAGCUAAUACAUGUAUAAAGUCUUGUAGACUGCAUUUAUUAGAAUGAAAACCAUAGGUUUCGGCCUAUUCGUGAGUAAUAAUAACUAAUCAUAUCGUAUGCUUAUGUAACGAUGUGUCUUUCAAGUUUCUGCCCUAUCAGCUUUCGAUGGUAGUGUAUUGGACUACCAUGGCAGUAACGGGUAACG